AACGAACGCUGGCGGCAUGCCUAACACAUGCAAGUCGAACGAUGCCUCCGGGCAUAGUGGCGCACGGGUGCGUAACGCGUGGGAAUCUGCCCUUGGGUUCGGAAUAACUCGCCGAAAGGCGAGCUAAUACCGGAUGAUGACGUAAGUCCAAAGAUUUAUCGCCCAAGGAUGAGCCCGCGUAGGAUUAGCUAGUUGGUGGGGUAAAGGCCCACCAAGGCGACGAUCCUUAGCUGGUCUGAGAGUAUGAUCAGCCACACUGGGACUGAGACACGGCCCAGACUCCUACGGGAAGCAGCAGUGGGGAAUAUUGGACGAUGGGCGAAAGCCUGAUCCAGCAAUGCCGCGUGAGUGAUGAAGGCCUUAGGGUUGUAAAGCUCUUUUACCCGGGAUGAUAAUGACAGUACCGGGAGAAUAAGCUCCGGCUAACUCCGUG
RNAcentral lists this ribosomal RNA (433 nucleotides) under uncultured bacterium. Its description in RNAcentral is "partial 16S ribosomal RNA". It matches the Rfam family "Bacterial small subunit ribosomal RNA", at positions 29 to 507 of the family's 1533-position model. The record is from RNAcentral.